This 328-nucleotide ribosomal RNA is filed under the name uncultured eukaryote. RNAcentral's name for it is "partial 18S ribosomal RNA". It matches the Rfam family "Eukaryotic small subunit ribosomal RNA", at positions 1470 to 1796 of the family's 1831-position model. The record is from RNAcentral.
CCCUUAGAUGUUCUGGGCUGCACGCGCGCUACACUGAUGCGCUCAACGAGUUUAUGACCUUGCCCGGAAGGGUUGGGUAAUCUUCUUAAAACGCAUCGUGAUGGGGAUAGAUUAUUGCAAUUAUUAAUCUUCAACGAGGAAUACCUUGUAAGCGCGGGUCAUCAUCCCGCGCUGAAUACGUCCCUGCCCUUUGUACACACCGCCCGUCGCUCCUACCGAUUGAGUGGUCCGGUGAGGCUUUGGGAUCUGAGCGGAAAGAGCGUUUCGCUGUUUCUGCUCGGAAAACUCAGUCGAACCUUAUCAUUUAGAGGAAGGAGAAGUCGUAACA